UGUCCUUAUUUGCCAGCACGUAAUGGUGGGAACUCUAAGGAGACUGCCGGUGACAAACCGGAGGAAGGUGGGGACGACGUCAAGUCAUCAUGGCCCUUAUGACCAGGGCUACACACGUGCUACAAUGGGACGUACAGAGGGCAGCAAUACCGCGAGGUGGAGCGAAUCCCACAAAGCUUGUCGUAGUCCGGAUUGGAGUCUGCAACUCGACUCCAUGAAGUCGGAAUCGCUAGUAAUCGUAGAUCAGAAUGCUACGGUGAAUACGUUC
Molecule: ribosomal RNA, 268 nt
Filed under: unidentified gamma proteobacterium groupDD
Lineage: Bacteria; Pseudomonadati; Pseudomonadota; Gammaproteobacteria
Description: partial 16S small subunit ribosomal RNA
Rfam family: Bacterial small subunit ribosomal RNA
Source: RNAcentral